This 243-nucleotide ribosomal RNA is filed under the name uncultured Gardnerella sp. RNAcentral's name for it is "partial 16S ribosomal RNA". It matches the Rfam family "Bacterial small subunit ribosomal RNA", at positions 111 to 355 of the family's 1533-position model. The record is from RNAcentral. Lineage: Bacteria; Bacillati; Actinomycetota; Actinomycetes; Bifidobacteriales; Bifidobacteriaceae.
UAAUGCGUGACCAACCUGCCCCAUGCUCCAGAAUAGCUCUUGGAAACGGGUGGUAAUGCUGGAUGCUCCAACUUGACGCAUGUCUUGUUGGGAAAGUGUUUAGUGGCAUGGGAUGGGGUCGCGUCCUAUCAGCUUGUAGGCGGGGUAAUGGCCCACCUAGGCNUUCGACGGGAGCCGGCCUGAGAGGGCGGACGGCCACAUUGGGACUGAGAUACGGCCCAGACUCCACGGGAGGCAGCAGCU